This 18-nucleotide small nuclear RNA is filed under the name Arabidopsis thaliana (thale cress). RNAcentral describes it as "snRNA_09202". Lineage: Eukaryota; Viridiplantae; Streptophyta; Magnoliopsida; Brassicales; Brassicaceae. The record is from RNAcentral.
AAACCCGUAAGGCGCAAG